AAUAAAAAGAGUGUUUUGUGUUACCUCGUCCACGCGUUGCACUGAUAUUGUUGUCUGCUGAACCUUUCUUGUCGUUUGACUUGUCUGAUGUAGACGUCGUCGGGGGGGGGCUUUUUUCCUUCAUCCGAUCUUGUUAGGCGGCCGGGUUUCGCCACCAUUAACCCCCGCUGCAGAAGUCGUGGAUGGAGCCCGGCUCCCGUAGGAGUCCGGGUGAAGUCUUCCUUGUAGGCGGAACCCGGUUCCCAUAGGAGUCCGGGUGAAGUCUUCCUUGUAGGUGGGACCCGGCUCCCGUAGGAGUCCGGGUGAAGUCUUCCUUGUAGGUGGAACCCGGCUCCCGUAGGAGUCCGGGUAAAGUCUUCCUUGUAGGCGGGACCCGGCUCCCGUAGGAGUCCGGGUGAAGCCUUCCUUGUAGGCGGAACCCGGCUCCCGUGGGAGUCCGGGCC
RNAcentral lists this long non-coding RNA (443 nucleotides) under Elaeis guineensis (African oil palm). Its description in RNAcentral is "long non-coding RNA (EGUI_LNC082018)". The record is from RNAcentral. Lineage: Eukaryota; Viridiplantae; Streptophyta; Magnoliopsida; Arecales; Arecaceae.